UGCAAGUCGAGCGGACUUGCUGGAGCUUGCUCCAGCAGGUUAGCGGCGGACGGGUGAGUAACACGUGGGCAACCUGCCUGUAAGACUGGGAUAACUCCGGGAAACCGGAGCUAAUACCGGAUAGUAUCUUGAACCGCAUGGUUCAAGUUGGAAAGACGGUUUCGGCUGUCACUUACAGAUGGGCCCGCGGCGCAUUAGCUAGUUGGUGAGGUAAUGGCUCACCAAGGCAACGAUGCGUAGCCGACCUGAGAGGGUGAUCGGCCACACUGGGACUGAGACACGGCCCAGACUCCUACGGGAGGCAGCAGUAGGGAAUCUUCCGCAAUGGACGAAAGUCUGACGGAGCAACGCCGCGUGAGUGAUGAAGGUUUUCGGAUCGUAAAACUCUGUUGUUAGGGAAGAACAAGUGCGAGAGUAACUGCUCGCACCUUGACGGUACCUAACCAGAAAGCCACGGCUAACUACGUGCCAGCAGCCGCGGUAAUACGUAGGUGGCAAGCGUUGUCCGGAAUUAUUGGGCGUAAAGCGCGCGCAGGCGGUUUCUUAAGUCUGAUGUGAAAGCCCCCGGCUCAACCGGGGAGGGUCAUUGGAAACUGGGAAACUUGAGUGCAGAAGAGGAGAGUGGAAUUCCACGUGUAGCGGUGAAAUGCGUAGAGAUGUGGAGGAACACCAGUGGCGAAGGCGACUCUCUGGUCUGUAACUGACGCUGAGGCGCGAAAGCGUGGGGAGCAAACAGGAUUAGAUANCNCUGGUAGUCCACGCCGUAAACGAUGAGUGCUAAGU
RNAcentral lists this ribosomal RNA (783 nucleotides) under Bacillus sp. LKS-159. Its description in RNAcentral is "bacterial SSU rRNA". It matches the Rfam family "Bacterial small subunit ribosomal RNA", at positions 56 to 821 of the family's 1533-position model. The record is from RNAcentral. Lineage: Bacteria; Bacillati; Bacillota; Bacilli; Caryophanales; Bacillaceae.